RNAcentral lists this ribosomal RNA (497 nucleotides) under uncultured bacterium. RNAcentral describes it as "partial 16S ribosomal RNA". It matches the Rfam family "Bacterial small subunit ribosomal RNA", at positions 28 to 507 of the family's 1533-position model. The record is from RNAcentral.
GAUGAACGCUGGCGGCGUGCCUAAUACAUGCAAGUCGAGCGAACGGACGAGAAGCUUGCUUCUCUGAUGUUAGCGGCGGACGGGUGAGUAACACGUGGAUAACCUACCUAUAAGACUGGGAUAACUUCGGGAAACCGGAGCUAAUACCGGAUAAUAUUUUGAACCGCAUGGUUCAAAAGUGAAAGACGGUCUUGCUGUCACUUAUAGAUGGAUCCGCGCUGCAUUAGCUAGUUGGUAAGGUAACGGCUUACCAAGGCAACGAUGCAUAGCCGACCUGAGAGGGUGAGCGGCCACACUGGAACUGAGACACGGACCAGACUCCUACGGGAGGCAGCAGUAGGGAAUCUUCCGCAAUGGGCGAAAGCCUGACGGAGCAACGCCGAGUGAGUGAUGAAGGUCUUCGGAUCGUAAAACUCUGUUAUUAGGGAAGAACAUAUGUGUAAGUAACUGUGCACAUCUUGACGGUACCUAAUCAGAAAGCCACGGCUAACUACGUG